GAUAGAUAACUGUAUGUGUUGUCAGGUAAACUGAUAGAUAACUGUGUGUGUUGUCAGGUGUCAGGUAAGCUGAUAGAUAACUGUAUGUGUUGUCAGGUAAGCUGAUAGAUAACUGUAUGUGUUGUCAGGUAAACUGAUAGAUAACUGUAUGUGUUGUCAGGUAAGCUGAUAGAUAACUGUAUGUGUUGUCAGGUAAACUGAUAGAUGACUGUAUAUGUUGUCAGGUAAACUGAUAGAUAACUGUGUGUGUUGUCAGGUGUCAGGUAAACUGGUAGAUGACUGUAUGUGUUGUCAGGUGGUAAGCUGAUAGAUGACUGUGUGUGUUGUCAGGUAAGCUGAUAGAUAACUGUAUGUGUUGUCAGGUAAGCUGAUAGAUAACUGUAUGUGUUGUCAGGUAAACUGAUAGAUGACUGUAUAUGUUGUCAGGUAAACUGAUAGAUAACUGUGUGUGUUGUCAGGUGUCAGGUAAACUGGUAGAUGACUGUAUGUGUUGUCAGGUAAGCUGAUAGAUAACUGUAUGUGUUGUCAGGUGUCAGGUAAGCUGAUAGAUAACUGUAUGUGUUGUCAGGUAAACUGAUAGAUGACUGUAUAUGUUGUCAGGUAAACUGAUAGAUAACUGUGUGUGUUGUCAGGUAAGCUGAUAGAUAACUGUAUGUGUUGUCAGGUAAACUGAUAGAUGACUGUAUAUGUUGUCAGGUAAACUGAUAGAUAACUGUAUGUGUUGUCAGGUAAACUGAUAGAUAACUGUAUGUGUUGUCAGGUAAACUGAUAGAUAACUGUAUGUGUUGUCAGGUAAACUGAUAGAUAGAUGAC
Molecule: long non-coding RNA, 813 nt
Organism: Oncorhynchus keta (chum salmon)
Lineage: Eukaryota; Metazoa; Chordata; Actinopteri; Salmoniformes; Salmonidae
Exons: 3
Source: RefSeq, a predicted model, not a curated record